AUUGAACGCUGGCGGCAGGCCUAACACAUGCAAGUCGAGCGGCAGCACGGGGAGCUUGCUCCCUGGUGGCGAGCGGCGGACGGGUGAGUAAUGCAUAGGAAUCUGCCCGGUAGUGGGGGAUAACCUGGGGAAACCCAGGCUAAUACCGCAUACGUCCUACGGGAGAAAGCAGGGGACCUUCGGGCCUUGCGCUAUCGGAUGAGCCUAUGUCGGAUUAGCUGGUUGGUGAGGUAAAGGCCUACCAAGGCGACGAUCCAUAGCUGGUCUGAGAGGAUGAUCAGCCACACCGGGACUGAGACACGGCCCAG
RNAcentral lists this ribosomal RNA (308 nucleotides) under uncultured bacterium. Its description in RNAcentral is "bacterial SSU rRNA". It matches the Rfam family "Bacterial small subunit ribosomal RNA", at positions 30 to 334 of the family's 1533-position model. The record is from RNAcentral.